Long non-coding RNA from Oncorhynchus tshawytscha (Chinook salmon), 3310 nucleotides. The record is from Ensembl. Lineage: Eukaryota; Metazoa; Chordata; Actinopteri; Salmoniformes; Salmonidae.
UCUCUCUCUCUCUCUCUCUCUCUCUCUGUAGGUCGACGUCUGGUCAUAGGAGAAAGAGGAGAUACAGAUCAGGUAAAGAAGACCCGAAGAACAAACUGAAAGACAAAACCAGAAAGAGGUCCCCAUUAGAGUCCCCCAGUAGGACGUCUCAGCGUAGAGGCAGCUGCUGUAGCUCCCACAGUGCAUCACUCUCCUCCACAGGCCACAGCCCCUCCAAGUCCCUCGGCAGGCCCAACUCCAAGCACAAGACAGAAGGACACAAGGCCUGUGUGAGCCCUUCCCCGUCUCCCGGUCCUGACGGUCCUGUCACGUGGCACAACGGGCACCACCACCAAAGCGACCGCGGCUGCAACGGCAAGGCGGGCAGACUCAACAGCCACGCGGUCGAGGAGGACAAGGAGCAAGAUAAGCUGAGAAUGCUGACUGCUGUUUCUCCGGGAGCCCAGUCGACCAUGAUACUGCCACAACUGAGAGGAGGAGAGAACAAGGCCCACACUGCCCUCUACAGGGCCCCAGGAAGUACUGCUGCCCAGGCUGGAGAGGCCCUACAUGGGGAGGACAGGCAGACUACGGACCUGGGGUCGUCAGGGAGAUGGGGAGGUCACAGAGGUCACAGAGUCCAGGGGAAGCGCUCCCAUUCGCCGACUCACAGCAGUGACUCCGCCCACUCUCAACAUAACCUGCAUCCUCACAGAGAAAAGAGCUCUCACCAGAAGAAGACUAAAAGAUCCCACUCUUCCAAGCGUCACCGCCGUGGGGGUCGGGGACAGGCCCAUCACCAGAGGCUGUCUGCAUCCCCAGGGCGGCACCACCAUGCGUCUGGGUCAGGCACCAAGAAGAGUGAGUCUCGGGGGCGGGGCGGUGUCGGUGUCCGCCAGCGCAGCAGCUCCUGGAGCUCAGGACGGUCCUCAUCAUGCUCUGCCUCCAGAGAGAGAGCCCCCAGCAAGGCCAAGUCCCUCCACAUCCAUGCCAGACAGAACAAUUCCAGUUUUUCCGCUAAGGACAGAGAUAGUCCUCACCACUCUGACGCUGACCGUGCUCACCGUCGUUCCAGGAGCUACUCUCCCAUCAGGAAGAGGAGACGAGACUCUCCCAGCUUCAUGGAGGCUCGCAGGAUCACCAGCGCUCGGAAGCGGCCUAUCCCGUACUACCGCCCCAGCCCUUCCUCCUCCAGUUCCAUGUCAAGCCCCUCCCAUUCAGGGAGGAGUCGCAGCCGCAGCUACAGCUGCAGUCACAGCCACACCAGGAGCCACAGCCGCUCACGCAGCCCCAGGAGCCACAGCCGCUCACGCAGCCCCAGGAGCCACAGCAACUACAGUCGCAGCAGCUAUGAAAGCCCCGGCUUCUGAUGAGAGAGAGACAGAGAGAGGGGGAGUUGGGGGGGGAGAGAGAGAGAGAUAGAUGGGGGAGAACAGCAGGAGAGAUUGAGGGAGAGAGAGGGGGAGGGAGAUAAAUCAUGUUAUGCGUCCCUGAUUGGUCCAAACACAGGGUCAGACCUUCUCUGUUUUUUCUACCAUCCUCAGUCUCCAUCUCUGAAUACCAGCGUUAACCAGAGCCUGGAUCUGAAAUAUCCAUUUGUCUUCACACAGGCACAAUUUAAAAUAACAUUUUUCAGAUCAUGCUUUUAGAAAAUAAUUGAUAAAGAACUAUUCUGUAAGCACUUUCUCUAUAUGUUUCUGCAUAGCAAAAGUAAACCCCCCAAAAAAAAAAAAAAUGUUCCAGCAUUGGGACACUUCCACGGAGUUUGUCAAAGAAGAUGAAAAGAAGAGAUACAAGUGAAAGAAAUCAAAUCAAAUCAAACAGCACUGGGAAAUUCUUCCUCCAAUGUCAUGACGUAAUUUCCCCAAAGACACUUAUGCUUAGGAACCAGAGAGAUCAAAACAGAUGCGAUAAAGAACAAAAGAAAAGAUGGCUGAUGAUUUAGCAUGCAGAAGGGAACUGAUAUAUCAGGAUGUAUAGAUGAUUCUAAACUGUAAGUUCUGGCUUGUAAACUAUGCACUGUAUAUUCUAUGUGAUUUUUUUUGGAAGAGGCUUGUUAUUUGAUGGUGACUUCGCAUGAUGAUGCAACAGAAAGGAGGAAGACUGCUGCUUGUACCAGAGAGCUGCCUGCGACUACAGGACUACAGGUCCCAGGGUGCAUCUGUCCCUGCCCCUGCCACUACAGGACUACAGGUCCCAGGGUGCAUCUGUCCCUGCCCCUGCCACCACAGGACUACAGGUCCCAGGGUGCAUCAGUCCCUGCACCUGCUAUUACAGGACUACAGGUCCCAGGGUGCAUCUGUCCCUGCCCCUGCCACUACAGGACUACAGGUCCCAGGGUGCAUCUGUCCCUGCCCCUGCCACUACAUGGCUACAGGUCCCAGGGUGCAUCUGUCCCUGCCCCUGCCACUACAGGACUACAGGUCCCAGGGUGCAUCUGUCCCUCCCCCUGCCAUUAUAGGACUACAGGUCCCAGGGUGCAUCUGUCCCUGCCCCUAUUCUGACUUGGGGCACAUUCAGAUAGAAGUAUGCUAUGUAGAACAAACAUGGAUCUCUGAGAUGUAGAAUAAGGAAUCACGUCGGCCCUAUUUGUGGUAUUUAUAUCUGAAACGAUCGAGAACAUUUUGUUACCGAACAUGGCCCUGACAUUCCUGACCUGUAAUCACACACUGAGGCAAAAAAAAAACAAGGGACAGAUGUUUGAUUAUCAUGUACUUUUUCCUCUCUUCCUUAUUCCACUAUUUAUUAUGUCCAGACCUCUUGCUCAAUGACCAGUGAUGUGAAGUCGCUCUGGAAAGAUGCUCUUUCUAAAGAUAUUUUCUGCAAAAGCAUCCAUGCGAUCAUGUGGGUCUAUCUUUUAUCCACAGCUAUUUGUUCAGUUAUUUAUUCCAAUUAUUUAUCUAUUUCUUAUGUUAUUUAUUUGUUUAUUUAUUUGAUUAUUUAUUUGUUUUUUUGUCUCAUCGAAUGUUUUUAAAAACACUUUGAAGAACCGUGUUGUUGAGAUCUUAAUAUUUAAUGGGAGAUAGAAUUGCUGCAUAUGAACACGUUUUCAUCUAUGAACAAACAGAACGUCAAUUGUUUUAACCCAAAUCCUUUUUUUUGUCAUGAAAACUUCUGCUUCCUUUAAUAGCUUGUUGCUAUGGGGACCGGGUUUUCAAUCCCUUGAUGUAUAAUGCUCUUACACAGGGUUACUUAGAGGGACUGUUACCUGUCUGUCUGUCUCCUGGUGCAGGGGAUGCCUAGUUACAGUCUUAGAGGGGCUGUUACCUGUCUGUCUGUCUCCUGGUGCAGGGGAUGCCUAGUUACAGUCUUAGAGGGGCUGUUACCUGUC